Molecule: ribosomal RNA, 405 nt
Filed under: uncultured Methanobacteriaceae archaeon
Lineage: Archaea; Methanobacteriati; Methanobacteriota; Methanobacteria; Methanobacteriales; Methanobacteriaceae
Description: partial 16S ribosomal RNA
Rfam family: Archaeal small subunit ribosomal RNA
Source: RNAcentral
ACUUUUCYAAUGCGGGCAACCGUGAUAAGGGAACCUSGAKUGCCWGUACAURCAGACUAUAUGGGUGUCUAAAACACACCCAAAGAAAGGGCCGGGCAAGACCGGURCCAGCCKCCGCGGUAAUACCGGCGGCUCGAGUGGUGGCCACUUUUAUUGGKCUUAAAGCGUUCGUAGCUGGGUUGUUAAGUCUCUUGGGAAAUCUGGCAGCUUAAYUGUCAGGCGUYUAAGAGAUACUGGCAAUCUAGGAACCGGGAGAGGUGAGGGGUACUUCGGGGGUAGGAGUGAAAUCYUGUAAUCCUCGAGGKACCACSUGUGGCGAAGGCGCCUCACCAGAWCGGKUUYGACAGUGAGGGACGAAARYUGGGGGAGCAAUCCGGGAUAGAUACCCGGGUAGUCCCAGCCGUA